Mobula hypostoma (lesser devil ray) is the source of this 1046-nucleotide long non-coding RNA. RefSeq lists it as uncharacterized. The record is from RefSeq and is a predicted model, not a curated record. The transcript is spliced from 3 exons. Lineage: Eukaryota; Metazoa; Chordata; Chondrichthyes; Myliobatiformes; Myliobatidae.
AUGAUUGCGUAGGGCGUCUAAAUAUAGAUCAUCCUUAUAGAUAGGGCUGGCAGUGGGCAGGAAGAGCGCAUUUGGUUUCGGAGUUGUUACACUUCACCCGGCCGGAAGAACGUUCUGUUAUCGAGCAGGCGCUGCAGCCCAAAGUCAGAGGAGCGAUGAAGGUUUACAUAGGCGCGACGGUGAAGCGCCCUGCGAGCCGGGGACCGACCCAGCUCAAGGAACCUGAUCCAAAGGUUGUCAAGGAGUGUGCGAUGGAGCUGAGGAAGGUCGGGGAUCUGCUCAACUUCCUUCACAUCAUGCUGAAUACUGUUACCAAAAUGUUCCAGCGGUCUACCUGAACCCCUCGGUCGAGGCUGCUACACCAUUAAAAGGUUGAAAAAAAUAUCAACGGUCUUUAACUUCUCAGUUGGAAGCAUUCAUGUCUGGGCAUGUCAGCAACGGAGAACAGAUUGUAUUGUAACGAAUGUGGAAAUGAAGAAAUAAUAUUGUGAGGAUUUGUUUUUAGAAGUAAGGUAUGAUGUGAGGAUGGCCAGUCAAGUUACAAGCCGAAGAUGAAGCAAAAUCUGGAAGUGGAAGGAUUUAGCUCGGAAAGUUGUAACUGCAAAAGCGCAUUAUGAAAAAAAAAGUUGAGUCGACAUUUUAAUGUGUAACAAACGGAGCCUUUUGUUCAAUUUAAAUUUGUAUACAUGUUGGAGAAGUUUGUUGCUUAUGGAGAAACUUUCUAAUUGUGAAAACAGCUGCAAAUAUUAAAAAUUGGGUGCAUGAGGCUUUGUGUAAGUCAUGAAAGAUGUGUUGGAUUUUUAGUGGUUUUAUGAAAGAUUAUGCUUAUUACAUGUCUUUUGUGAUGCAAAAUUAAAGGAGUGACUUACUGUAGUUAUUAUCUUUGCGCAUUAGUAGGAGGAAAUGUAUUGUAAAUGACUUUAAAUAUUUUAAAAGUUCUCCAGUUUAAUAGUGAACUUGGCAUUAAUCAAAUAUGUAGCUUUCUCAAUUAUUGUAUUAUGACAAAGUGGUAGAAGAUGUAGUUUAUUUGAUGUAGUUUAUACAAA